AGAGUUUGAUUCUGGCUCAGGAUGAACGCUAGCUACAGGCUUAACACAUGCAAGUCGAGGGGCAGCAUUGGAGUAGCAAUACGUUCAGAUGGCGACCGGCGCACGGGUGAGUAACACGUAUCCAACCUGCCGCUUACUCGGGGAUAGCCUUUCGAAAGAAAGAUUAAUACCCGAUGGUAUAAAGAGUUCGCAUGUUCUCUUUAUUAAAGAUUUCGGUAAGCGAUGGGGAUGCGUUCAUUAGAUAGUUGGCGGGGUAACGGCCCACCAAGUCUACGAUGGAUAGGGGUUCUGAGAGGAAGGUCCCCCACAUUGGAACUGAGACACGGUCCAAACUCCUACGGGAGGCAGCAGUGAGGAAUAUUGGUCAAUGGACGAGAGUCUGAACCAGCCAAAGUAGCGUGAAGGAUGACUGCCCUAUGGGUUGUAAACUUCUUUUAUAAGGGAAUAAAGUGAGGGACGUGUCCCUUUUUGUAUGUACCUUAUGAAUAAGGAUCGGCUAACUCCGUGCCAGCCGCGGC
RNAcentral lists this ribosomal RNA (518 nucleotides) under uncultured bacterium. Its description in RNAcentral is "bacterial SSU rRNA". It matches the Rfam family "Bacterial small subunit ribosomal RNA", at positions 8 to 518 of the family's 1533-position model. The record is from RNAcentral.